RNAcentral lists this unclassified non-coding RNA (343 nucleotides) under soil metagenome. RNAcentral's name for it is "partial contains 5.8S ribosomal RNA, internal transcribed spacer 2, and large subunit ribosomal RNA". The stretch from base 1 to 120 matches the Rfam family "5.8S ribosomal RNA", at positions 35 to 154 of the family's 154-position model. The record is from RNAcentral.
GAUGAAGAACGCAGCGAAAUGCGAUAAGUAAUGUGAAUUGCAGAAUUCAGUGAAUCAUCGAAUCUUUGAACGCACAUUGCGCCCGCUAGUAUUCUGGCGGGCAUGCCUGUCCGAGCGUCAUUUCAACCCUCAAGCCCCCGGGCUUGGUGUUGGGGAUCGGCGAGCCUCCGCGCCCGCCGUCCCCUAAAUCUGGUGGCGGUCUCGCUGUAGCUUCCUCUGCGUAGUAGCACACCUCGCACUGGGAAACAGCGCGGCCACGCCGUUAAACCCCCAACUUCUGAACGUUUGACCUCGGAUCAGGUAGGAAUACCCGCUGAACUUAAGCAUAUCAAUAAGCGGAGGA